GUCUGUUAAGUCAGAUGUGAAAUCCCCGGGCUUAACCUGGGAACUGCAUUUGAAACUGGCAGGCUAGAGUCUCGUAGAGGGGGGUAGAAUUCCAGGUGUAGCGGUGAAAUGCGUAGAGAUCUGGAGGAAUACCGGUGGCGAAGGCGGCCCCCUGGACGAAGACUGACGCUCAGGUACGAAAGCGUGGGGAGCAAACAGGAUUAGAUACCCUGGUAGUCCACGCUGUAAACGAUGUCGAUUUGAAGGUUGUGGUCUUGAGCCGUGGCUUUCGGAGCUAACGCGUUAAAUCGACCGCCUGGGGAGUACGGCCGCAAGGUUAAAACUCAAAUGAAUUGACGGGGGCCCGCACAAGCGGUGGAGCAUGUGGUUUAAUUCGAUGCAACGCGAAGAACCUUACCUACUCUUGACAUCCAGAGAACUGAGCAGAGAUGCUUAGGUGCCUUCGGGAACUGUGAGACAGGUGCUGCAUGGCUGUCGUCAGCUCGUGUUGUGAAAUGUUGGGUUAAGUCCCGCAACGAGCGCAACCCUUAUCCUUUGUUGCCAGCGAUUCGGUCGGGAACUCAAAGGAGACUGCCGGUGAUAAACCGGAGGAAGGUGGGGAUGACGUCAAGUCAUCAUGGCCCUUACGAGUAGGGCUACACACGUGCUACAAUGGCGCAUACAAAGAGAAGCGAUCUCGCGAGAGUCAGCGGACCUCAUAAAGUGCGUCGUAGUCCGGAUUGGAGUCUGCAACUCGACUCCAUGAAGUCGGAAUCGCUAGUAAUCGUGGAUCAGAAUGCCACGGUGAAUACGUUCUCGGGCCUUGUACACACCGCCCGUCACACCAUGGGAGUGGGUUGCAAAAGAAGUAGGUAGCUUAACCUUAGGGAGGGCGUUUACCACUUUGUGAUUCAUGACUGGGGUGAAGUCGUAACAAGGUAACC
Molecule: ribosomal RNA, 923 nt
Filed under: uncultured bacterium
Lineage: Bacteria
Description: bacterial SSU rRNA
Rfam family: Bacterial small subunit ribosomal RNA
Source: RNAcentral